Molecule: ribosomal RNA, 638 nt
Filed under: uncultured bacterium
Lineage: Bacteria
Description: bacterial SSU rRNA
Rfam family: Bacterial small subunit ribosomal RNA
Source: RNAcentral
CAAAGGAAGCGAUUCCGGCGGGGGAUGGGCAUGCGGCGCAUUAGCUAGUCGGCGGGGUAACGGCCCACCGAGGCGACGAUGCGUAGGGGUUCUGAGAGGAAGGUCCCCCACACUGGUACUGAGACACGGACCAGACUCCUACGGGAGGCAGCAGUGAGGAGUAUUGGUCAAUGGGCGGGAGCCUGAACCAGCCAAGUCGCGUGAGGGAAGACGGUCCUAUGGAUUGUAAACCUCUUUUGCCGGGGAGCAACGGGGUCCUUGCGAGGGCCUAAUGAGAGUACCCGGAGAAAAAGCAUCGGCUAACUCCGUGCCAGCAGCCGCGGUAAUACGGAGGAUGCGAGCGUUAUCCGGAUUUAUUGGGUUUAAAGGGUGCGUAGGCGGGCUGUUAAGUCAGCGGUCAAAUGUCGGGGCUCAACCCCGGCCUGCCGUUGAAACUGGUGGCCUCGAGUGGGCGAGAAGUAUGCGGAAUGCGUGGUGUAGCGGUGAAAUGCAUAGAUAUCACGCAGAACUCCGAUUGCGAAGGCAGCAUACCGGCGCCCGACUGACGCUGAGGCACGAAAGCGUGGGUAUCGAACAGGAUUAGAUACCCUGGUAGUCCACGCAGUAAACGAUGAAUGCUAGCUGUCCGGGGCUUCGGU